RNAcentral lists this ribosomal RNA (224 nucleotides) under Stegodyphus mimosarum. RNAcentral describes it as "eukaryotic large subunit ribosomal RNA". It matches the Rfam family "Eukaryotic large subunit ribosomal RNA", at positions 967 to 1133 of the family's 3401-position model. Lineage: Eukaryota; Metazoa; Arthropoda; Arachnida; Araneae; Eresidae. The record is from RNAcentral.
UUUUCCUCAGGAUAGCUGGCUCAUGAGAUUCAGUCUCAUCCGCUAAAGCUAAUGAUUAGAGGCCUUGCGGCCGAAAUGACCUCAACCUAUUCUCAAGCUUUAACUGGGUGAGAAGUCUGGCUUUUCUGUACUUUUCAGAAAAGAAAACUCUGUCUUUUACACUGAAUGCACACUGCGGGGGGAGGGAAGGGGGACAGUUCUAUAUCUCCCGUUCUACUGGGCCA